AAAACACAAGAAUACACGUUUGUAGAUGGUCGUGAUUUCCACGAAUAUUUUUUGAUUAAAAUUUCCACGAAUAUUAUUGUUGCUUAAAUAGUAAACCUGUGAUUUUUGUCAUUCAUCAUUAAUGAAAUAAUUGAAGAUAAAUAAGUGCCUCUCAAUCUCAUGUGAUCCUUGGCUAUGUGCAUGCCUGGUCGUGAGAAAAAGAAUGAAAACCAGUCAAACAGAGAAGUCUGCUCUCCAACGCAAAUGAAUGCCUGGCUGUGUGUGCUAAUCCAAUUUCCAUUCAAUCCUUUCUUUCUAUUCUAUUUAACUAACACAAAUAAAAAUUCCUAAUCUAGAACUAGAAUGAAUGAGUAAUUAAUUAAUUAGAGAGAGUCACAGAAUCAGAAAGAUUAAUUAAUGGCAUCAUCGGCUUGUACCAAAUCCGUUUUCACCUCCUCUGCAACUGCAAGUUUACAUUGUCCCACUACUCCCACCAGAGGAAGACCCUCUGUCGUUUCAUUCCCCAAACGCAACAUCGUUUUAACCUCCUCAUACAAGCUCUCUCAUUCUCAAUGCGCCGUCAACAAAACGCGCUGCAAAUCCGACGGCGGAGAAGGUAUUUCAAGGCCAAGCAUCUUGGUUUCUGAGAAGCUCGGAGAGGCGGGGCUCCAAGUGCUGCGCGAUGUGGGACAAGUGGAAUGCUCCUACGACCUCUCCCCUCAAGACCUCUGCUCCAAGAUCUCCUCCUUCGACGCCUUGAUUGUCAGGAGCGGCACCAAGGUCACCAGGGAGGUUUUCCAAGGCGCCAAGGGAAGGUUGAAGGUGGUGGGCAGAGCCGGCGUUGGAAUCGACAACGUGGACCUUGAAGCCGCCACCCAAUACGGUUGCCUGGUGGUGAAUGCACCCACCGCGAACACCAUCGCCGCGGCGGAGCACGCAGUGGCUCUUCUGGCUGCCAUGGCGAGGAACAUCCCACGCGCCGACGCGUCCCUCAAAGCAGGGAAGUGGCAGAGGAACAAGUAUGUGGGAGCGUCCAUGGUUGGGAAGACGCUAGCGAUCAUGGGGUUUGGGAAAGUUGGGUCUGAGGUGGCGCGUCGUGCGAAAGGGUUGGGGAUGAACGUGGUUGCGCAUGACCCUUAUGCCCCUGCAGACAGGGCACGCGCCAUUGGCGUUGAUCUUGUGUCGUUUGAUCACGCCAUCUCCGCCGCUGAUUUCAUUUCUCUCCACAUGCCUCUCACUCCCACCACUGAUAAGAUCUUCAAUGAGGAUACUUUUGCCAAGAUGAAGAAAGGUGUUCGCAUUAUCAAUGUUGCGAGAGGCGGAGUUAUUGAUGAAGAUGCGUUGGUGAAAGCGCUUGAUAGUGGACUAGUUGCUCAGGCUGCACUUGAUGUGUUCACCGAGGAGCCUCCAUCGAAAGAUAGUAAAUUAGUGCAGCAUGAGAAUGUGACGGUUACGCCACACCUUGGAGCUAGCACCAAAGAGGCACAAGAAGGUGUAGCAGUUGAAAUAGCAGAAGCUGUGGUUGGAGCAUUGAGAGGGGAACUUUCAGCAACUGCUGUCAAUGCUCCUAUGGUUGCCCCUGAGGUCAUGUCUGAAUUGGCUCCAUAUGUUAUGCUAGCUGAGAAGUUGGGUCGGCUAGCAGUGCAGUUGGUGUCUGGAGGAAGUGGAAUCAAAUCCGUGAAGGUGGUUUAUCGAUCGGCUAGGGGGCCAGAUGACCUUGACACACGACUUCUACGAGCGAUGAUCACAAAAGGGAUAAUUGAACCGAUAUCCAAUAAAAUUGUCAACCUUGUGAAUGCUGAUUUCACUGCCAAGGAGAAGGGGAUUCGCAUAAGUGAGGAAAGAGUAGUUGUUGGUUCAUCCCCUGAGCAACCAAUUGAUUCAAUUCAGAUACAGAUAUCCAAUGUGGAGUCAAAGUUUGCAAGUGCUGUGUCGUCCGAGAGUGGUGAUAUAAGCAUUGAGGGAAGGGUGAAGUAUGGCAUGCCCCACUUGACAUGUGUGGGAUCUUUUGGUGUAGAUGUAAGUUUAGAAGGGAAUGUCAUCUUGUGCCGCCAGGUGGACCAGCCCGGUAUGAUUGGGCACGUUGGGAAUCUAUUGGCUCAACAUAAUGUCAAUGUCAGCUUUAUGAGUGUGGGAAGGACAUCUCCGAGGAAGAUGGCGAUAAUGGCUAUUGGUGUUGAUGAAGAACCAAACAAAGAAGCUCUUCACAACAUUGGAUCUGUGCCUGCUAUCGAAGAGUUUGUCUUUCUCAAACUGUAGCUUCACAGUCACACUUGAACAAUCCCAUUUUUAGACACUCAAACAGGGUUGAGCAGGAGCCAUUCGAGAGAAUCCAUGCGAAUGCAAAUAAGACAAGGAGGAAUCUGCCUUUUUCAGUGUGCCAGGAGUUGACUGGGGAACAAGGUGCAUUCGCGUGUCAGCUCGCGAAUGCCUGACAGGUGCUGACUGAUGGGUGACAUGGUGCAGGCAUGCAGGGGCAUGCAGAGGCAUUCGCCUCCUGCCUUGCGAAUGCAAUGUCGGCCAUUAACUUUUAUAAAAUGACCCCAGAAAUAGCCAAGUUUGCAUGCUCGAAUUCACCUCUCCAACUCUCUCAAUUCUCAACUUUCAAGCUUCAUUUCUAAACUCUCAUGACAUAAGUUUGAUACCUCUCAAGAGAACCUACCCUCAAACUCUCUCAAGUGUAAAAGUAUCUAUAUUGUUGGUUUUGUAAAUGGCGGAUGAAGCAGUGCUAACUCUCGGUCCAAAAAAUCCGACGUUGUUGGUGAAACAAAACAAACAUGUGUCGGGAUAUGUUUGGAACCAAACAAGUAAGAAAGUUUUGAAGCUGAGAUUACCCCACAUUCCUUUGAAUGGGGUCCCUCCACAAAUCGAACAAUAUAUUCGAUUGGCUGGAUUUUACGAGGCCGCUCUAUGUGGUUCUCUCAAACAAGACAAAGUGUUGAUAUCAGCACUGGUGGAGCGUUGGCGGCCCGAGACGCACACCUUUCAUAUGCCGUUUGGAGAGUGCACCAUCACUCUUCAAGAUGUUGCCGUUCAGCUGGGACUAAAUAUUGAUGGACAACCUGUUACCGGGGUGACAUGGUGUGACUGGUCUGAUCUCGUUACUCGUGCGCUAGGAGUCACUCCACCGCGACGUGCCAUUAGAGGAAGUUGUUUAAACUUGAAAUGGUUAAACCAGUGUUUUGAUUUUCAAAACCUAGGUGCACUUGAGUCGGCAGAAGCUGAAUUUGUUGCAAGAGCAUUCAUUUUGCGCUUGAUUGGCACUUUCUUAUUACCCGACCACUCGGGAUCACAUGUGCCUCUAAGAUAUCUACUACUCAUAGAGAAUUUAGCUAUGGCCUCCACAUACAGUUGGGGUUCGGCUGUGCUUGCAACUCUCUAUCAUGAGUUAUGCCAUGCAACCGGUUAUGAACGACAAGAAAUCGAUGGUUGUACUUAUUUGCUCCAAAUCUGGGCUUGGGAAAGGAUUCCAAUGACUGCCCCUGAAACCAUACCAAUAUUGCCACUCGGCUGCCCCCUCGCAGGAAGGUAUGCACGUAAUUUACAAGUAGUUAUAUUUAUUUGUGCACAUAAAUGCGAAAAAAUAAGCCGUUAAUAAAUAC
Lotus japonicus is the source of this 3581-nucleotide RNA transcript. It is a transcript of the gene named D-3-phosphoglycerate dehydrogenase 2, chloroplastic-like, with no coding region annotated. The transcript has 4 exons. NCBI's taxonomy places the organism in Eukaryota, Viridiplantae, Streptophyta, Magnoliopsida, Fabales, Fabaceae. The record is from RefSeq and is a predicted model, not a curated record.